RNAcentral lists this ribosomal RNA (253 nucleotides) under uncultured bacterium. RNAcentral describes it as "partial 16S ribosomal RNA". It matches the Rfam family "Bacterial small subunit ribosomal RNA", at positions 524 to 776 of the family's 1533-position model. The record is from RNAcentral.
UACGUAGGGGGCAAGCGUUAUCCGGAUUUACUGGGUGUAAAGGGAGCGUAGACGGCGGUGCAAGCCAGAUGUGAAAGCCCGGGGCUCAACCCCGGGACUGCAUUUGGAACUGUAUAGCUAGAGUGUCGGAGAGGCAGGCGGAAUUCCUAGUGUAGCGGUGAAAUGCGUAGAUAUUAGGAGGAACACCAGUGGCGAAGGCGGCCUGCUGGACGAUGACUGACGUUGAGGCUCGAAAGCGUGGGGAGCAAACAGG